GAACUGCGAUAAGUAAUGUGAAUUGCAGAAUUCAGUGAAUCAUCGAGUCUUUGAACGCACAUUGCGCCCCCUGGCAUUCCGGGGGGCAUGCCUGUCCGAGCGUCAUUGCUGCCCUUCAAGCCCGGCUUGUGUGUUGGGUCGUCGUCCCCUCCGGGGGACGGGCCCGAAAGGCAGCGGCGGCACCGCGUCCGGUCCUCGAGCGUAUGGGGCUUUGUCACCCGCUCGAUAAGGACCGGCCGGGCGCCAGCCGGCGUCUCCAACCUUUUUUUCUCAGGUUGACCUCGGAUCAGGUAGGGAUACCCGCUGAACUUGCGC
Molecule: unclassified non-coding RNA, 315 nt
Filed under: plant metagenome
Description: partial contains 5.8S ribosomal RNA, internal transcribed spacer 2, and large subunit ribosomal RNA
Rfam family: 5.8S ribosomal RNA (bases 1-105)
Source: RNAcentral